RNAcentral lists this long non-coding RNA (1391 nucleotides) under Helianthus annuus (common sunflower). RNAcentral describes it as "hypothetical non coding rna". The record is from RNAcentral. Lineage: Eukaryota; Viridiplantae; Streptophyta; Magnoliopsida; Asterales; Asteraceae.
CUCUCUCUCCUUAUUCUUUUUAUGUCUCGCCAAGCUCUCUCUAUAUUAUUUUAUUUUUAUUUUUAUUUUUCACUAAUAAUAAUAAUAAUAAAGCCCUGUCCCGUAUUAAGUGUUUUAACUCCCGAUCACCGCUACCCUUUCCGAUUGAUCUGAGCCUCAUAACAUAUGUCAGGGCUCUGCCCGACUAAGUUCGUUGGGGUUCUGUCUCGGGACUUUGGGACAAGGUUGAAUUAGGGGUACUAUACUUAACACGGGUGCAUUAUAUAUAUAUAUAUAUAUAGUUCAAAAGUUAUACCCAAAAUUUAUACCAGGAGAUUUUCUAGUUGAACCCUAAAGUUAUAAAGUGGGUCCAUUCUCUUUUCUCACCAUUUUAUUCCUUCUUAUCCCAAACCAUAACAACUCUCACCAAAACUACUAUUUAUUAUUUUAUUUGCCCAAUAGGAAACCCUAAUUGAGACACCCAAGUAAUCCUGCACAACUCCUAAAAUUUUCAGAACAAUCAGAAUUAGGAUCAGGGCCCCUAAAACUCAGGGGGGAGGGGGGUAUUCCCUACUUGACGAUUAUCCACAUAACUCGCUGUAGAAAUCAAAUUUAUCAAGUCCGUCGACUCAUACAAGCUAGUUGGACACGUGGCAAGCCUAUGAUGAAAUGUGGCCCGUCGCGUCACGCGACGCCCCCUAUGGGACCCCUCGCGUCACGCGAGGGGGUCAAAUUUCAGCUAUAAAUAGAAGGGGUUACGAGCAGUUCAGGGGUGUCGAUCAAAAUUCUCAAAAACGAAAUUAGACUACUCUAAUUCGUAAAAUACAUUCACAGUAGCAAGGCGCUGCUACGAUACAGGGUAUUAACUCGAUCGCUGCUACGAUUCAAUAUCCGAUUGAUUUAAACUAUCCGACCGGAUGUUUAAGCGCUAUCCUUUGUCAUUAGUCGUGAUUCCGACAGGAUGUUUUAGUACCACCCGAACUCGGGGAAUACUCUGUCAUUCGUUGUGAAUCCGAUGGAUGUUUAAGUGAUUGCACUUUGUCAUUCGUCGUGAGGGUUUAAUCUCGUGAGUUAUCGUAAAUGCUGUAUUAGUUAAUUACCUAGUUUCGUGUGCAUUAUCGCUUAAAUUAGGUUAUCAGGCUUAUCAGUAGACUAAACACUACCUCAUACACUUACAAUCAAAGUAGAUGCUAAUUCUCAGAAGAAUCUGAAUCAUGAAGCUUGUUAAUUCAAUACUGCAUGCUUAUAAUGUAAUUACAGUAGAUUGGAGUAAGAAUUGGAUCCGGCACUGAAGGACUUCAAGAAGUGGUUAUUUUAUUAAUUAAAUCAAAUUAAGAAAUAUCAUUUUUAUUUAAGCUACCUUUGUAAAACAUGGGUUUAUCCCAUCUAUUAAAUAAAUAAAAUCCGGUGUU